GCUUUAGUCGAAUGUCGUAGCAACAAUUCUUAGAGCUGGCAGUCCCAAAACAGUGUGGAGAGAGCGGCAAGACAGGCUGAAAUGUCUAGAUGGCACCCGGAGGUAUUAGCAGCAGGGAAUAUGAGGCAGAGAAUCUGCUCCAGCAGCAGCGCAGACGCCAAAAGCCGCCAGCUUCUCCCCGGAGCGCCGCAGUGAGCGUCU
Fukomys damarensis (Damara mole-rat) is the source of this 201-nucleotide unclassified non-coding RNA. The record is from Ensembl. NCBI's taxonomy places the organism in Eukaryota, Metazoa, Chordata, Mammalia, Rodentia, Bathyergidae.